AGAGUUUGAUCCUGGCUCAGGACGAACGCUGGCGGCGCGCCUAACACAUGCAAGUCGAACGGACUUGCGAUCUGCACUGAGUUUUUUGUCAGCCGACGCUGAAGGGAUGCGAAGCAAACCGGAAGCGGAAGAACGGGACUGACAUAAGGCUCGACGAAAGAUUGAGUGCAGAUUGCAAGUUAGUGGCGGACGGGUGAGUAACACGUGAGCAACCUGCCUUUCAGUGGGGAAUAACGCAGGGAAACCUGCGCUAAUACCGCAUAAUAUACUCGGAUGGCAUCGUCUGGGUAUCAAAGAUUUAUCGCUGAAAGAUGGGCUCGCGCCCGAUUAGGUAGUUGGUGGGGUAAUGGCCCACCAAGCCAACGAUCGGUAGCCGGACUGAGAGGUUGAUCGGCCACAUUGGGACUGAGACACGGCCCAGACUCCUACGGGAGGCAGCAGUGGGGGAUAUUGCACAAUGGGGGAAACCCUGAUGCAGCGACGCCGCGUGUAGGAAGACGGUCCUCUGGAUUGUAAACUACUGUCUUGUGGGACGAUAAUGACGGUACCACAGGAGGAAGCCACGGCUAACUACGUGCCAGCAGCCGCGGUAAU
RNAcentral lists this ribosomal RNA (594 nucleotides) under uncultured bacterium. RNAcentral's name for it is "bacterial SSU rRNA". It matches the Rfam family "Bacterial small subunit ribosomal RNA", at positions 8 to 524 of the family's 1533-position model. The record is from RNAcentral.